This 253-nucleotide ribosomal RNA is filed under the name uncultured bacterium. Its description in RNAcentral is "partial 16S ribosomal RNA". It matches the Rfam family "Bacterial small subunit ribosomal RNA", at positions 524 to 776 of the family's 1533-position model. The record is from RNAcentral.
UACAGAGGGUGCGAGCGUUAAUCGGAAUUAUUGGGCGUAAAGGGUGCGUAGGCGGUUUGGUAAGUCUCUUGUGAAAUCUAUGGGCUCAACUCAUAGUCUGCAAGGGAAACUGCCGGGCUUGAGUGUGGGAGAGGUGAGUGGAAUUUCCGGUGUAGCGGUGAAAUGCGUAGAUAUCGGAAGGAACACCUGUGGCGAAAGCGGCUCACUGGACCACAACUGACGCUGAUGCACGAAAGCUAGGGGAGCAAACAGG